UUGGCUGCUAGCUGAGGGGCCCGCACUGCGUAUGCAGCUUUGGGCUGCAUGUUAAGUCGUUCUCGCUGGAAGCGAGACAAACAAA
Molecule: transfer RNA, 85 nt
Filed under: Shewanella algae
Lineage: Bacteria; Pseudomonadati; Pseudomonadota; Gammaproteobacteria; Alteromonadales; Shewanellaceae
Description: tRNA-Gln
Source: RNAcentral